RNAcentral lists this non-coding RNA (27 nucleotides) under Bombyx mori (domestic silkworm). The record is from RNAcentral. Lineage: Eukaryota; Metazoa; Arthropoda; Insecta; Lepidoptera; Bombycidae.
UCCUCGUAUCUGGUUCGCGGUUGAGUG